CAGUCGCCGCGGGAACACGGAGGGUGCGAGCGUUAAUCGGAAUUACUGGGCGUAAAGCGUGCGCAGGCGGUUAUAUAAGACAGAUGUGAAAUCUCCGGGCUCAACCUGGGACCCGCAUUUGUGACUGUAUAGCUAGAGUACGGUAGAGGGGGAUGGAAUUCCGCGUGUAGCAGUGAAAUGCGUAGAUAUGCGGAGUAACACCGAUGGCGAAGGCAAUCCCCUGGACCUGUACUGACGCUCAUGCACGAAAGCGUGGGGAGCAAACAGGAUUAGAUACCCGCGUAGUCCCUGUCUCUUAUAC
This 301-nucleotide ribosomal RNA is filed under the name uncultured bacterium. RNAcentral's name for it is "partial 16S ribosomal RNA". It matches the Rfam family "Bacterial small subunit ribosomal RNA", at positions 509 to 807 of the family's 1533-position model. The record is from RNAcentral.